GAUAAAUACUUCUUUCCCAUGGGUACGAUAUUAGAAAUCUUUGUUGCGAACAGAAAAGAGAGAGACAGAGUAGAUUUGGUAGGCGGAGGAAUGGAAGGGCCAGGCUCACAUCUUAUGAACGGAGGAAGCGAAAUGCUGCAGUCAAGCGAAAUCCGCAAUCCAUCGGGUCUAAGUCCCCUUCCAAUCAGAUUCAUAAACACCUAACAUAACAGCAGCCCACAAGGCCUUGUUGAGGAUGAUCUCCUGUGUGAAAUUCGAGAAAUUCCAUUCCAUUUAUACGAGAAGUGCCGAUCCCUUUUUUAGAAUAAAAGGGGGUUUGAGGGUGUCCCAGCCGGUUCCCAUGGCCACAAAAGCUAGCGGUUCGACUCUUGCUUGAGAUUACCAAGGCGAUGAUCAGUAGCUGGUCCGAGAGGAUGAUCAGCCACAC
This 427-nucleotide long non-coding RNA is filed under the name Hordeum vulgare. RNAcentral's name for it is "long non-coding RNA (HVUL_LNC009165)". The record is from RNAcentral. Lineage: Eukaryota; Viridiplantae; Streptophyta; Magnoliopsida; Poales; Poaceae.